CCUACGGGAGGCAGCAGUAGGGAAUUUUCGGCAAUGGGGGGAACCCUGACCGAGCAACGCCGCGUGAACGAAGAAGUUAUUCGUAAUGUAAAGUUCUUUUAACAGGGAAGAAAGAGAAAUUUGACGGUACCUGCAGAAUAAGCUCCGGCUAACUACGUGCCAGCAGCCGCGGUAAUACGUAGGGAGCGAGCGUUAUCCGGAAUUAUUGGGCGUAAAGGGUGCGUAGAUGGCAUAGUAAGUCUUUUGUAAAAAUGCUGGGCUCAACCCAGUAGGGCAAAAGAUACUGCAAAGCUAGAGUAUGACAGAGGCAAGUGGAACUACAUGUGUAGCGGUAAAAUGCGUAAAUAUAUGUAAGAACACCAGUGGCGAAGGCGGCUUGCUGGGUCGAUACUGACGCUGAGGCACGAAAGCGUGGGUAUCGAACAGGAUUAGAUACCCCAGUAGUC
RNAcentral lists this ribosomal RNA (446 nucleotides) under uncultured bacterium. Its description in RNAcentral is "partial 16S ribosomal RNA". It matches the Rfam family "Bacterial small subunit ribosomal RNA", at positions 338 to 795 of the family's 1533-position model. The record is from RNAcentral.